UUGGGGUAGCCAACAAAAUAUUGGGACAUAUAAAAAAAGACAACUCUGUUUCGCAGAGUAGCUGUUGACAUUAUAGUUGUCCAGGAACUUUGUUGACUCUAGAGACCCUCGGGCAAAUCGCACAUCCCCGUGGUUGCGAAUUUGCAUGCGGAUGUCAUCCAUAUCAACUUUCAAUGCCAGUUUGUGCGCCUACCAUGGUGACCACGGGUAACGGGGAAUCAGGGUUCCAUUCCGUACAGGCACCCUGAGAAACGGCUACCACAUGCAAGGAAGGCAGCAGGCACGCAAAUGAACCACUCCCGACGCGGGAAGGUAGUGACGA
Pelobates cultripes (western spadefoot toad) is the source of this 322-nucleotide non-coding RNA. The record is from the annotation of a GenBank genome assembly. Lineage: Eukaryota; Metazoa; Chordata; Amphibia; Anura; Pelobatidae.